GACGAACGCUGGCGGCGUGGAUUAGGCAUGCAAGUCGAACGGUAGGAUACCUUCGGGUAUCUGAGAGUGGCGAACGGGUGAGUAACACGUAGGUGAUCUACCCUCAAGAUUGGGACAACCCAGGGAAACUUGGGCUAAUACCGGAUGAAAGCAGCAGCGAUGUUGUUGAAAGGUGGCGUAAGCUGCCGUUUGGGGAUGAGCCUGCGCUCUAUUAGUUAGUUGGCGGGGUAAAGGCCCACCAAGGCGAUGAUAGAUAGGCGGCCUUAACGGGUGGUCGCCCACACUGGGAUUGAGAUACGGCCCAGACUCCUACGGGAGGCAGCAGUCGAGAAUAGUCUACAAUGGCCGAAAGGCUGAUAGUGCGACGCCGCGUGAACGAAGAAGCCCUUCGGGGUGUAAAGUUCUUUUAUAUGUGAGCAGUGCUUUCUAUGUGAACAGCAUAGUGAGAGAGAUAUUAGCAUAUGAAUAAGCAACGGCUAACUCCGUG
Molecule: ribosomal RNA, 487 nt
Filed under: uncultured bacterium
Lineage: Bacteria
Description: bacterial SSU rRNA
Rfam family: Bacterial small subunit ribosomal RNA
Source: RNAcentral